UCUCUAGGGGACAAAUGAAAGUUGAAGGCUCUACCUUAACCUAUAAGGAUUGUGCAGUCCGGCUUGGGAUUGGAGAGAAACAGGAACUGAGCAUUCUCCUGGAGUGCAGCCAGCAGACAUAAAGGAAGUUGCUGAGAAGGGUGUACAGACUCUUGUGAUUGGCAGAGGAAUGAGCGAGGCCUUGAAGGUGCCUCCAUCGACUGUGGAGUAGCUCGAGAAACAAGGCAUUGAUGUGCGAGUCCUCCAGACAGAGCGGGCAGUGAAGGAGUACAAUGCCUUGGUUGCCCAAGGCGUAAGGGUAGGAGGUGUCUUCCACUCCACCUGCUGAUGGAGCCUACAGAGGAGAAUAAACCUCUGGGCAGCAAUGCCUUGACUGCCUUCCAUUCUCCACAUCAGCCUCCACUGUGUACUUUGGACAUAUGCUCAAGUUCUUGGAACAGAUUGAUGGGAGGCUAAGGCACAGUUCUUGCCCUCCAGGUUGCUUAAAUCAGAAGAGAGAUUUGCUGACGUUUAGUAUUGUGCUAUGUGUUAGGUUCAAAGUAUGAGAAAGUUCAUACAAAAAUAAAGGUUGAAGCUUGGAAGCAAAAAAAAAAGAAAAGAA
Molecule: long non-coding RNA, 601 nt
Filed under: Rattus norvegicus (Norway rat)
Lineage: Eukaryota; Metazoa; Chordata; Mammalia; Rodentia; Muridae
Description: long non-coding RNA NONRATT021718
Source: RNAcentral